Molecule: ribosomal RNA, 253 nt
Filed under: uncultured bacterium
Lineage: Bacteria
Description: partial 16S ribosomal RNA
Rfam family: Bacterial small subunit ribosomal RNA
Source: RNAcentral
UACGAGGGGGGCGAGCGUUGUUCGGAAUUAUUGGGCGUAAAGGGCGCGUAGGCGGUGCGGUAAGUCACCUGUGAAACCUCUGGGCUUAACUCAGAGCCUGCAGGCGAAACUGCCGUGCUGGAGUGUGGGAGAGGUGCGUGGAAUUCCCGGUGUAGCGGUGAAAUGCGUAGAUAUCUGGAGGAACACCGGUGGCGAAGGCGGCAUCCUGGACCAACACUGACACUGAGGAGCGAAAGCCAGGGGAGCAAACGGG